CGGCCGCCCUGAGACGUGGCGACUACAGAGCCUUUGGCCGCCUCAUGGUGGAGAGCCACCGCUCACUCAGGUGAGGCCCUCUGGGCACCCCGCUCCUGCCGGGCACAGGCCGGCCCCAGGCCCACCCCUUCGAUAUCUUCUCUGCAGAGACGACUAUGAGGUGAGCUGCCCGGAGCUGGACCAGCUGGUGGAGGCUGCGCUCGCUGUGCCUGGGGUUUAUGGCAGCCGCAUGACGGGCGGUGGCUUCGGUGGCUGCACGGUGACACUGCUGGAGGCCUCCGCUGCUCCCCACGCCAUGCGGCACAUCCAGGAGCACUAUGGCGGGACUGCCACUUUCUACCUCUCUCAAGCAGCCGAUGGAGCCAAGGUGCUGCGCUUGUGAGGCACCCCCAGGACAGCACACGGUGAGGGUGCGGGGCCUGCAGGCCAGUCCCACGGCUCUGUGCCCGGUGCCGUCUUCCAUAUC
This 466-nucleotide small RNA is filed under the name Pongo abelii (Sumatran orangutan). RNAcentral describes it as "retained intron". The record is from RNAcentral. Lineage: Eukaryota; Metazoa; Chordata; Mammalia; Primates; Hominidae.